GGAGGAGUGGCUGAGCGGUUGAAAGCGGACGCCUCGAAAGCGUCUAUGGCAGCAAUGUCAUCGGGGGUUCAAAUCCUCCCUCCUCCG
This 87-nucleotide transfer RNA is filed under the name candidate division WOR-1 bacterium RIFCSPHIGHO2_02_FULL_45_12. Its description in RNAcentral is "tRNA-Ser". It matches the Rfam family "tRNA". Rfam says of the family: Transfer RNA (tRNA) molecules are approximately 80 nucleotides in length. Their secondary structure includes four short double-helical elements and three loops (D, anti-codon, and T loops). Further hydrogen bonds mediate the characteristic L-shaped molecular structure. tRNAs have two regions of fundamental functional importance: the anti-codon, which is responsible for specific mRNA codon recognition, and the 3' end, to which the tRNAs corresponding amino acid is attached (by aminoacyl-tRNA synthetases). tRNAs cope with the degeneracy of the genetic code in two manners: having more than one tRNA (with a specific anti-codon) for a particular amino acid; and 'wobble' base-pairing, i.e. permitting non-standard base-pairing at the 3rd anti-codon position. Lineage: Bacteria; Bacillati. The record is from RNAcentral. RNAcentral also lists the same sequence under 2 other names.